RNAcentral lists this ribosomal RNA (1054 nucleotides) under uncultured bacterium. Its description in RNAcentral is "bacterial SSU rRNA". It matches the Rfam family "Bacterial small subunit ribosomal RNA", at positions 336 to 1393 of the family's 1533-position model. The record is from RNAcentral.
CUCCUACGGGAGGCAGCAGUGAGGAAUAUUGGUCAAUGGGCGCGAGCCUGAACCAGCCAAGUAGCGUGAAGGAUGAAGGCUCUAUGGGUCGUAAACUUCUUUUAUAUGGGAAUAAAGUUUUCCACGUGUGGAAUUUUGUAUGUACCAUAUGAAUAAGGAUCGGCUAACUCCGUGCCAGCGGCCGCGGUAAUACGGAGGAUCCGAGCGUUAUCCGGAUUUAUUGGGUUUAAAGGGAGCGUAGGUGGAUUGUUAAGUCAGUUGUGAAAGUUUGCGGCUCAACCGUAAAAUUGCAGUUGAAACUGGCAGUCUUGAGUACAGUAGAGGUGGGCGGAAUUCGUGGUGUAGCGGUGAAAUGCUUAGAUAUCACGAAGAACUCCGAUUGCGAAGGCAGCUCACUAGACUGUUACUGACACUGAUGCUCGAAAGUGUGGGUAUCAAACAGGAUUAGAUACCCUGGUAGUCCACACAGUAAACGAUGAAUACUCGCUGUUUGCGAUAUACAGUAAGCGGCCAAGCGAAAGCAUUAAGUAUUCCACCUGGGGAGUACGCCGGCAACGGUGAAACUCAAAGGAAUUGACGGGGGCCCGCACAAGCGGAGGAACAUGUGGUUUAAUUCGAUGAUACGCGAGGAACCUUACCCGGGCUUAAAUUGCAACAGAAUAUAUUGGAAACAGUAUAGCCGUAAGGCUGUUGUGAAGGUGCUGCAUGGUUGUCGUCAGCUCGUGCCGUGAGGUGUCGGCUUAAGUGCCAUAACGAGCGCAACCCUUAUCUUUAGUUACUAACAGGUCAUGCUGAGGACUCUAGAGAGACUGCCGUCGUAAGAUGUGAGGAAGGUGGGGAUGACGUCAAAUCAGCACGGCCCUUACGUCCGGGGCUACACACGUGUUACAAUGGGGGGUACAGAAGGCAGCUACACGGCGACGUGAUGCUAAUCCCAAAAACCUCUCUCAGUUCGGAUCGAAGUCUGCAACCCGACUUCGUGAAGCUGGAUUCGCUAGUAAUCGCGCAUCAGCCAUGGCGCGGUGAAUACGUUCCCGGGCCUUGUACACACCGC